UCCCAGGAUUCUCCCUGCACUGAACCCACAGCAGUGCAGUUGUCUCCCUGAAAGGCUGAGUUGAGGGCACAAGGGAGGGUGCCAGUCAAGAUUAGUCUUUGGGUCCCAGGCCAUACAAUUCUAUGGACCACUCAUCAGUUAGGACUCAGGAAUUCUCUUGAGCACCUGUACUCAGGCCUUGGAAAUGACUUGGUGAUGUUCCAGUUUCUAUGCCGAAUGAUCCUACAUCGCUUCUGGACCCCAAGCACGUGGUGUUGCAAGACGUUGGUGGGUCCCCAUGGGGAGAGAGCCCUAGCUAGGGUUAGGGUUCGGUCCAGGGAUGUCCCCAGAUGCAAAGCGACUCAAAUCUCGUGAUCUCCCUCGAGGGCUGAAGUGAGGGCCCAUGUGACAGUGCAGGUCAAGUGUAGUAUUAGGUUUCGACAUAGGGUUAGGUUUCAGUUGAGGGUUCUGGUUAGGGGUAGGGUUAGGUCCCAGGAGGCUCCUGGAACUGAGUCCACAGCAGUGCAGUUGUCCACAGCAGUGCAGCUGUCUGCACAGCAGUGCAGGAUUCCCCAAAGGGCUGAGUUGAGGGCACAUGGGAGGAUGCUGGUCAUUUUUAGUAUUUCCGUUCCAAUUCCAGACAAUUGUAUGGGCCGUUGGUCAUGUAGGCCUCAGCAAUCCUUUCAGGAAGCUGUAGCCGGGCCUGAGAAACGACAUGCUGAGGUUCCAGAGUGAUCCUGCACUGCUUCUGUACCCCAGAAAAUAAAAACGCCCUGGAAGAUAAGUGUAAUGCAUUGAGGUCUGUGAAAGCCACAAAGGAAGCAAAAGUCAAACAUCUGAAGGAGAAAGCACAUAACCUGGAAGAAUUCUAUGAACAAAGAAAAGUGCCUACAAAAAAGCAACAAAUUGAACAAACAUGGGAACGGCUGCAGCAGGCAGAGUUCACCUUUAGAUACCAGCUUGCAGUUCAUGAGAAGAAUGCUCAGGACAACUAGGGAUGACGCCUGCCCUGUUUGUUGUCUAGUAGACGACGUGGUGUUGCAACUCUUAUAGAAGUCCAUUAUUUUUCUGUAUCCAAGACUGGAUGGGAUGGAAGCAAAGAGGCUGCCUGAGGGAUACACGAGGCAGAAACCAAUCACUGCAAGAACCCUCCAAGGAGAGGGCAGUCUGGAUCCUGGGGACCUCCUCCGUUAACUGGACGAUUCUGCAUGCCUUACCCUGGAGACACCCCGCCCCCAUGGACUAUUAGGCACGUCCACCUCCUGAACCUUAGUGGCCCUGAGGCCACCCGGAACCCCUCCACCUGCAACACUUGAUGCAAAACCUUUACUGCCGAGUCUACGGGCUUCCCUGUUUCCCAGAUGGCAUCUGUUUGUGGUAACUUGAGCAGCUAAGCGUGCCUAAAGGCUAUUUUGUAUGCAAGAGUCCUGGUCCUUUCCCAGGAUUGCCUUGCAGGCUGUACCCCAUGGACCACCCUUCACCACCAGUCAUGGGCUAUAGGCCACAUCCCCCUCCUCC
Molecule: long non-coding RNA, 1497 nt
Organism: Felis catus (domestic cat)
Lineage: Eukaryota; Metazoa; Chordata; Mammalia; Carnivora; Felidae
Exons: 8
Source: RefSeq, a predicted model, not a curated record